CACUUUUUGUUUUGUCCAAAUAAUUAUGGAUUUAAAAGGAAAUAUAAAUAUUUUCAAAAAGUUCUGAUAAAUGCAAGGAAACAGAAGAUUUAUUUCAAACCCUACUACACUUAUAAGGGUUUAAGCCUCCUAUAAUUCAGUUUCAAACACUACUUUAAUUGGGUAUCUCUUUGUUACUUUGAUCUCUCUCUCCCAUGGAAACUCUCUUUACUUCAGUUUACAUCUCCAGUCUCCCGGGGACGAAGCCUUCUUUGCGUUCUUCUCCCUCUUCGUCUCCUCCUUCUUCUUCGUCUUCUUCUCUGUUUUCAUGUUGCUUGUGCAAUCGUCCGACCAAGCGAAUCACCGAACUGAGACUCAGCCGUGGAUCGGCUCAUGGGUUCCGUCUGCGGGCCCUCUUGCAUGGCGAGACUCGAAGCGAAGGAGAUGAUAAUUUGGCGGGGAGUAAUGGGUUUGACUUGUUUUCCGGUGAUAUUCUCUCUUUAUCUCAGGAAAAGGUAAAGGGUGAUCAAAGUGGUGAAAAGGAUGUUGAUAAGGCAAUGGAUUUGGAAACAUCUCUUGUGCUUCCUCAUGGGGUUGGGAAGGGAACUCGAGCCGGGCUUUUUAGAACACCGAUUUCCGGUGGAGUUCAGAGUGCAACCUCGGUUCAUGGGCUACCUCGGCCAGCUUUAGCUGUCCGAAAUUUGAUGGAGCAGGCCAGGUUUGCUCAACUAUGCACUUUGAUGUCUAAGAUUCACCACCACAGAGAAGGGUACCCGUUUGGUUCUUUGGUAGAUUUUGUGCCUGAUCCCAUGGGCCAUCCAAUAUUCUUGUUUUCGCCUUUGGCUAUCCACACACGAAAUCUCUUGGCGGAACCAAGAUGCAGUCUUGUUGUUCAGGUACCUGGAUGGAGCGGCUUAUCAAAUGCAAGAGUAACACUCUUUGGUGAUGUCUACCUAUUGCCUGAAGAUCAACAGGUGUGGGCUCAUAAGCAGUAUAUCGCAAAGCAUCGACAAGGGCCUUCCCAGCAAUGGGGAAAUCUAUACUAUUUCAGAAUGCAGAACAUAAGUGACAUCUAUUUCAUCGGAGGGUUUGGCACCGUUGACUGGGUCAAUGUCAAAGAGUACGAGGCCCUUCAGCCUGAUAAGAUAGCUGUCGAUGGCGGUGAUCAAAAUCUCAAGGCGGGAACUGAAUGGCAUCUUCUCAAAACGGCUAAGACAGCUCUUGUCCACUGAAAGCGAGGUUGAUGAUGCUGCUCUCAUUUCAAUAGACAGCAGAGGAAUCGAUAUACGGGUUCGUCGAGGCGCUCAGUUCAACAUACAAAGGCUGUCGUUUGAGGAAGGCCACGUGGUUGAAACCUUAGAAGAAGCAAAGGCUGCUCUCCAGGAAGUGAUAAAGAAGAAGGGACAGAAGUUACAGAAUUUGCAGAAAUGACAGAACAUAAGAGUCGGUUUAUAUCAGAACCCUUUUGAGGGGAUACCAAUCUAAGAUAACUUUCUCGAGGAAUUUCCGUCGUUCGGGUCAUUUUUUUAAGCUUAUUACCCCGUUUUUUUUUUUUUUAUAACUAGGAGGUUUACUGGGCUUCCGCCCCACUUAAUACUCAUCUGGAAUCAUCCUUUAGUCACACAAUUAAUUACACCUCCUCCUUUCCAUUGGUGGAA
RNA transcript from Tarenaya hassleriana, 1637 nucleotides. RefSeq lists it as uncharacterized. The record is from RefSeq and is a predicted model, not a curated record. The transcript has 9 exons. NCBI's taxonomy places the organism in Eukaryota, Viridiplantae, Streptophyta, Magnoliopsida, Brassicales, Cleomaceae.